CGCACCUUGCGCUCCUUGGUAUUCCGAGGAGCAUGCCUGUUUGAGUGUCAUGGAAUUCUCAACUCCAUUCGCUUUUGUGAAUGGAGCUUGGACUUGGAGGUUAUUGCCGGACUUUAUUGUUUCGGCUCCUCUUGAAUGCAUUAGCUCGAGCCUUUGUGGAUCAGCUUCGGUGUGAUAAUUGUUUACGCCGUUCUGUGAAGCAUACAUAAUGGGUUUCGGCUUCCAAUCGUCCUUUGCGGGACAAUACACUAUGACCUUUGACCUCAAAUCAGGUAGGGUUACCCGCUGAACUUAAGCAUAUCAAUAAGCGGAGGAAAAGAAACUAACAAGGAUUCCCCUAGUAACUGCGAGUGAAGCGGGAAAAGCUCAAAUUUAAAAUCUGGCGGUCUAUGGCCGUCCGAGUUGUAGUCUGGAGAAGUGCUUUCCGCGCUGGACCGUGUACAAGUCUCUUGGAACAGAGCGUCAUAGAGGGUGAGAAUCCCGUCUUUGACACGGACUACCAGUGCUUUGUGAUGCGCUCUCAAAGAGUCGAGUUGUUUGGGAAUGCAGCUCAAAAUGGGUGGUAAAUUCCAUCUAAAGCUAAAUAUUGGCGAGAGACCGAUAGCGAACAAGUACCGUGAGGGAAAGAUGAAAAGCACUUUGGAAAGAGAGUUAAACAGUACGUGAAAUUGCUGAAAGGGAAACGCUUGAAGUCAGUCGCGUUGGCCAGGACUCAGCCUUGCUUUUGCUUGGUGCAUUUUCUGGUUGACGGGCCAGCAUCGAUUUUGAUCGCCGGAAAAAGGCUGGGGGAAUGUGGCACCUUCGGGUGUGUUAUAGCCUUCAGUCACAUACGGCGGUUGGGAUCGAGGACCGCAGCACGCC
RNAcentral lists this ribosomal RNA (861 nucleotides) under Rhodofomes roseus. RNAcentral's name for it is "eukaryotic LSU rRNA". The stretch from base 259 to 861 matches the Rfam family "Eukaryotic large subunit ribosomal RNA", at positions 1 to 604 of the family's 3401-position model. Lineage: Eukaryota; Fungi; Basidiomycota; Agaricomycetes; Polyporales; Fomitopsidaceae. The record is from RNAcentral.